ACUGCAGUCGAGCGCAGGAAGCAAGUUGAUCCCCUUCGGGGGUGACGCUUGUGGAAUGAGCGGCGGACGGGUGAGUAACACGUGGGCAACCUGCCUGUAAGACUGGGAUAACCCCGGGAAACCGGGGCUAAUACCGGAUAAUACUUUCUUUUGCAUAAAGGAAAGUUGAAAGGCGGCUUCGGCUGUCACUUACAGAUGGGCCCGCGGCGCAUUAGCUAGUUGGUGAGGUAACGGCUCACCAAGGCGACGAUGCGUAGCCGACCUGAGAGGGUGAUCGGCCACACUGGGACUGAGACACGGCCCAGACUCCUACGGGAGGCAGCAGUAGGGAAUCUUCCGCAAUGGACGAAAGUCUGACGGAGCAACGCCGCGUGAGUGAUGAAGGUUUUCGGAUCGUAAAACUCUGUUGUUAGGGAAGAACAAGUUGGGUAGUAACUGACCCAACCUUGACGGUACCUAACCAGAAAGCCACGGCUAACUACGUGCCAGCAGCCGCGGUAAUACGUAGGUGGCAAGCGUUGUCCGGAAUUAUUGGGCGUAAAGCGCUCGCAGGCGGUCCUUUAAGUCUGAUGUGAAAUCUCGCGGCUCAACCGCGAACGGUCAUUGGAAACUGGAGGACUUGAGUACAGAAGAGGAGAGUGGAAUUCCACGUGUAGCGGUGAAAUGCGUAGAGAUGUGGAGGAACACCAGUGGCGAAGGCGACUCUCUGGUCUGUAACUGACGCUGAGGAGCGAAAGCGUGGGGAGCGAACAGGAUUAGAUACCCUGGUAGUCCACGCCGUAAACGAUGAGUGCUGGUG
RNAcentral lists this ribosomal RNA (799 nucleotides) under Oceanobacillus sp. Its description in RNAcentral is "bacterial SSU rRNA". It matches the Rfam family "Bacterial small subunit ribosomal RNA", at positions 35 to 821 of the family's 1533-position model. The record is from RNAcentral. Lineage: Bacteria; Bacillati; Bacillota; Bacilli; Caryophanales; Bacillaceae.